This 1472-nucleotide long non-coding RNA is filed under the name Nicotiana benthamiana. RNAcentral's name for it is "long non-coding RNA (NBEN_LNC021353)". The record is from RNAcentral. Lineage: Eukaryota; Viridiplantae; Streptophyta; Magnoliopsida; Solanales; Solanaceae.
AACAUCGUGCAAAUGUUGUUGCCAAAACAAUGCAAAACUGAGUAGAUUUCAGCAGGGACAAAAGUCUGGAUAAAUGUCCAAAAAUAUCACUUGUAUUAGCUCGAUCUACUGCUGAAAUUGAAUUCUUCAGUAACUCGAAAGAGCAAAAUUACUGUGGCAAUAACAAGGCAGACGAAAUUUGAACAAAAGAGGGAAAUUAGAGCAAAUACGACCAUACAUACUCAGCGAAACAAUUUGGCUUCAGCACCUCUUUAAACCAGCGCAAAACUAAAUCAAGCACGACAAGAAUGAACUAAACUUUGACAUGGAACCCAAGUUAAAUCAGCUCAACACUUGGACAAGCGAGAUCUACGUCAGAUAAUGUUUCAUAACAAAUGUGAAUCACUAUAUUUCUGCCGUUUGUAACAUGUUCUGAUAAGUGCAACUAAUUGAGCAAUAGAGUGGUAGGAAACAUAACUAUCAAUACCCAGUUAAGAAGCAAAACUGAAAUUGAAGAAUAUAGCUCACAUUCUGUAAUCGCUCACGAGCUAAUCCUACCAUAACAAGAAAUAACAACAUAAAAACAAUUUCGGAGAACUCACAUUAAGAUGUAUACAGCCAAACCAAACCAAAAAUACGCGUAAAAAUGGCAAAAUGAUACACUACGACAAACAAUCACCAAGAAUCAAAUAGUUCCAACCCAGUUGAACUCGUAAUCUUGAUAUAGUUCUGAAUCAAAUGCCUAAAAUGGGCUACAAGAGAUAAAAAUAAAAACGAACCUGAAUCAGUAACAACCCGUUUAACUCUGUUUGAGCUUCGAAUACAAUGAAAGCUGGAAGCGAAAGAGUAGAAAUCAUAAGCUCAUACAGCAACAAACUCAACGACUCAAAAAGUAAAAAACCCAACUUGAACUUCAAUUUUAUCUUCUUAGAACUCAAAUCCGUAUUUAGAAAAAUGAGAAGAAGAAAUUGUAUCUAUGCUUCUCUUAAACUUCAAUGGCCUCGUCCAAGAAAAUCAACUCCGAAAAACACCAUUUCUCAUAGAAAACUUUUCACUUUUUUUUACUCUCCGAAAUUUUCAUCCCCUAUCACGAAAUUGGAUAGAAUCUAUUUUUGAAUAUCAAUCCUUGAUGAAUGUCGGGCUCAGAUUGAGUGAAAUCAAUCCAACACCUCACACUCAUCCAGCAUUUCCUCUUCCAGACCCUUACAAUCGCGUGUUUUUCUCUCAAAAUCGAGCGAGUGGGAGGAGGAGGAAUCUUGGCAUCAGAAAUCGUUAGCAACAGCAAGAGGAGAGAUAGAAGGACGUGUGGGUUAGAUAUUGAUGCCACUCGCCAUAGAUUUUGGGCUGAAAUGGGACUUGAGUGCGUGGGUUCUUCGAAGAAAAAGAACAGUGACGCGUUUGGGGCUUAGGGAUUUAGGACUCGUUCGCUUUCCGUGUGUUCAAUCGAUUAAAACAGGAAUGAGUCGGGUCGAGGGACGGGGCAUACGGGUUUU